GAACCCUUAAUCACCCUUUUUGCUCAGCAGCCAGAACAGAAGACACUGUAAAAAAGGAAAGCCUCGUUUUCUUCUUCGCUUCUUUCUCUCUCCGUGAACCAAAUGGAGGCUCUACGUGUAACGCCGUCGCAGGCACCUCUUCUCCGCCCUCACCGCCGAUUCAAAUUGACUCCACAAACAUUCCCUGGAUCCCACAAGACUUCCAUCAAGCCCUUCAUCAAUGCUGCCCUCUCCAAAUCGGCGGCGGAGGUCCCUCCAUUGCCUACGCCAUCGCCUGCACGCCCCUUGCCGGCCUCCUCCUCUAAUGUUUCUACUGCUGCAAAGAAAGUUUCCCCCAGUUCUCUCCAGUACCCGCCCGGUUACCUCGGGGCUGUACCUGACCGUACGGUUCAGGACGGGACUAAUAACAUUACAAAUGCCAUGGAGUACUUGACGAAUAUACUUUCUUCUAAGGUUUAUGACGUCGCGAUUGAAUCUCCCCUGCAGGUCGCGCCUAAGCUGUCAGAGAGAUUGGGGGUUAAGGUUUUGCUCAAGCGAGAGGACUUGCAGCCGGUUU
This 556-nucleotide unclassified non-coding RNA is filed under the name Hevea brasiliensis (rubber tree). Lineage: Eukaryota; Viridiplantae; Streptophyta; Magnoliopsida; Malpighiales; Euphorbiaceae. The record is from RNAcentral.